This 433-nucleotide ribosomal RNA is filed under the name uncultured bacterium. Its description in RNAcentral is "partial 16S ribosomal RNA". It matches the Rfam family "Bacterial small subunit ribosomal RNA", at positions 29 to 507 of the family's 1533-position model. The record is from RNAcentral.
AACGAACGCUGGCGGCAUGCCUAACACAUGCAAGUCGAACGAAGCCUUCGGGCUUAGUGGCGCACGGGUGCGUAACGCGUGGGAAUCUGCCCCUUGCUUCGGAAUAACAGUUAGAAAUGACUGCUAAUACCGGAUGAAGUCUUCGGACCAAAGAUUUAUCGGCAAGGGAUGAGCCCGCGUAGGAUUAGGUAGUUGGUGGGGUAAAGGCCUACCAAGCCGACGAUCCUUAGCUGGUCUGAGAGGAUGAUCAGCCACACUGGGACUGAGACACGGCCCAGACUCCUACGGGAGGCAGCAGUGGGGAAUAUUGGACAAUGGACGCAAGUCUGAUCCAGCAAUGCCGCGUGAGUGAUGAAGGCCUUAGGGUUGUAAAGCUCUUUUACCAGGGAUGAUAAUGACAGUACCUUGAGAAUAAGCUCCGGCUAACUCCGUG